AGAUUGAACGCUGGCGGCAGGCCUAACACAUGCAAGUCGAGCGGUAGAGAGGUGCUUGCACCUCUUGAGAGCGGCGGACGGGUGAGUAAUGCCUAGGAAUCUGCCUAGUGGUGGGGGAUAACGUUCGGAAACGGACGCUAAUACCGCAUACGUCCUACGGGAGAAAGCGGGGGACCUUCGGGCCUCGCGCCAUUAGAUGAGCCUAGGUCGGAUUAGCUAGUUGGUGAGGUAAUGGCUCACCAAGGCGACGAUCCGUAACUGGUCUGAGAGGAUGAUCAGUCACACUGGAACUGAGACACGGUCCAGACUCCUACGGGAGCAGCAGGUGGGGAAUAUUGGACAAGUGGGACGAAAGCC
Molecule: ribosomal RNA, 357 nt
Filed under: uncultured soil bacterium
Lineage: Bacteria
Description: bacterial SSU rRNA
Rfam family: Bacterial small subunit ribosomal RNA
Source: RNAcentral